GAGGUAGCUGUGUCUCGCCCAGGGGCCCGGCCCAUCCGAAACUCCAACAAAAAAGAAGAAAACAAAAAAUAAAAUAAAGACAUAAAAAGAAAUUUCAGAUCAUUUUCUCCGAGCUUGGUGAGAACCCACAAGAGUUUAUGUGUAACAGACGUUACAGUGGGGAAGAGGCCUUGAACCCGGAGAGGGACUGGACUGCCCUCUCCAUGCAGAUGGCACCGGUGCUACUGCUGCAUGUCUCUCUGGCAGGAAGGUCGAUGCAGCCCCUCACUUCCUCCCCUUCCCAAGUGUCACGGGGAGUAGUUCCUUUAUAAAAUGAGAAAGGGGUAGAAGGAAGAGGGACUCAAGUCCCCAGAGGAGAAGCUUGGGGGGUAAGGGGGGGAGGAUCACUGCUCAGUGGUAAGGUGGCAUCAUCAACCUGGAUCUUCACUGCUGCUGGGCUACCUGCUGUGGGGUGGGUUCAGGGCCCCGGUUUGCCAGCCGGCUGAGGAUGUUGCGCUCUGACAUCUAUAGCCGCACAGCCACAGGGGGAAUAUGGGCAAUUGUGGCUGGCAGCCUUGUGACAUCAGCCUUCACGUCACUCAACAAUUCCUCCAGUUGUUUCAGAACUUUGUGCAGGACAGCAUUAGCUGGCUUAUUUCCUGCCAUUGACUCCUUAGACAGGUGCUGGUGGCUCUCAGCCAGGCAUUCCACUUCAGCAAAACAAGUAUUGAGGGCCAUGGAAGGAUGGGAAGGGUCCUCUGACAUGUUCAGGUAAGCUGCUCGACGCAGUUGCUCCUUAAUCACCAAGACUUGUUCCAAGAGCUUAAAUCUUCUAGCCAGGAAUUUGUUUUUUAUCUCCAAGAAGUUACCAAGAUUCAUUUCACCUUUGAAGGGUUCAUUAAGAAUGGCAUAGCGCGGGUCAUUCUGAAUGUCCUGCCACCGAGCAUAGCCAUGGUUAAUAAUGCCAGCCAGCAGCCAGUAGUCAUGCCGCCGAUGCCAGAUCUCAUAGGUCUUCUUUGUAACUGUGGCUGCCCGUUCCUCAUUCUGCCAAAGGGAAUGCAGCUCAGUGAAGCCACCAUCUGCAAUGUUGAACAUAAAACGCUGCUUGAUGUUCUUCUUCUGCUUCUCAUCACCCAGGUCCUUGGGAGUCUCCCCAUUCUGAAACAUCACUUCUUUUUUCUCUUCUUCUUUCUUCUCCUCUUUGUCUUCUACCACAAUAGGGGUCAGAUCCUCAGAUCCACUGUUGCUUUCUCCUCUACCUUUUCCGUUUCAGCAACACCUUUGGUUUCUGUCUCCAUGGUCUCCUCUGUCUUCUCUUUGACUUCUGGCUUAUCCACCUUCUCUUCUCCUUCCAGAGCCUCAGCCAGAACUUUUUCCUCUUCUGGGUUAGAUGCAGAGGGCUGUGUAGCCUCCACAGAAGCCUCAGGGGCUGCAGGUUUCACCUCUCUCUCUCCUUCUGUGUUCUCUUCUUCUUUGUUAUUAUUCUCCUCUGCUUUCACCCCAUCAUCAGGGGGUGGCACUCCUGUUGGGUUGUGUGUCUCCUGGAGUGGAAGGUGUGGGAGUUUUAGGUGAAGGUGAUCCUGGCUAUGACAUCUUCUUGUUCUCUUCUAUCUCAGCCAGCUCAGGCAUGCUCCAGCACCCAAUGACAUGCUCAAAUUCCUGAACCUUUUUUCGGAUAAGUGACAUA
Sarcophilus harrisii (Tasmanian devil) is the source of this 1666-nucleotide long non-coding RNA. Lineage: Eukaryota; Metazoa; Chordata; Mammalia; Dasyuromorphia; Dasyuridae. The record is from Ensembl.